CGGCGGACGGGUGAGUAAUGUAUGGGGAUCUGCCUGAUGGCGGGGGAUAACUACUGGAAACGGUAGCUAAUACCGCAUAAUGUCUACGGACCAAAGCGGGGGACCUCCGGGCCUCGCGCCAUCAGAUGAACCCAUAUGGGAUUAGCUUGUAGGUAAGGUAACGGCUUACCUAGGCGACGAUCCCUGGCUGGUCUGAGAGGAUGGUCAGCCACACUGGGACUGAGACACGGCCCAG
Molecule: ribosomal RNA, 235 nt
Filed under: uncultured bacterium
Lineage: Bacteria
Description: partial 16S ribosomal RNA
Rfam family: Bacterial small subunit ribosomal RNA
Source: RNAcentral